Molecule: long non-coding RNA, 826 nt
Filed under: Homo sapiens (human)
Lineage: Eukaryota; Metazoa; Chordata; Mammalia; Primates; Hominidae
Description: non-protein coding lnc-ADCYAP1-3:1
Source: RNAcentral
GUGCCGGGAUUACAAGCGUGAGCCACCAUUCCCGGCCCAAAGAGGAGAAGAAGUAUGAAGUGCUUGCUUGGACCUUUCUACUGUGCUUAUUAUUCUGUCUUCUCCUCAUGGCAAGGAUGGGGUCAUGCUUUGUUGUCCAGGCUGGUCUCGUACUCCUGGAAUCAAGGAACCCUUCCACCUCAGCCUCUGAAAGUUCUGGGAUUACAGGCAUAAUUCAUCCUGCCUGGCCAAGAAUCUUUAAUGCUCUGCUCAGGCAACUCUUCCUCUGAGGAUCCUUCCAGUGACAAUUCAAGAAUUAGCGACUCAAUUCCCAGGGUCCCUUAGACCUUCGACCUGCUUGUGGGCAAUUUGGAAACAAGGAUUGUGCCUGAAUCACCUUUGCAUUCCUAGCAUCGUUUUUCCUGGAUAAUAAUUUGUUCAAUAUAUGUUCAAUAAUUGUUCAAUUAUUCAAUAACAAAUGUUCAAUAAAUGUGUGUUAAAUGAAUGACCACAGCUCCUAUAGCAGGUAGCUGACUUUGUGUCUCCUCAACCAAUCUCUGAGCUCUUUGAAACAAAGCCUAUUUUGUUUGAAUGUAAAUUUAUCAUCCCAGUUUCUGGUACAGGGUAGGGAACUAAUGCAUAUGUGGUGAAACAAUCAAUGCCUUAGUGCUUAUGAAGAAUAUCACUGUGUUACACAGAAGCAUGGAAUGACUAAUGUUAAGCUAAACUCAAGUUACUUAGGGAAUAUUAACUUGCAUUUAUUAUACUCUGGGGGAAAAACACAUAUAUGUGUAUAUAUGUAUAACAUAUGUAUGUAUACACAUAUCAGAAUUUGUAUAUGAGAAUG